This 385-nucleotide long non-coding RNA is filed under the name Equus caballus (horse). RNAcentral describes it as "lncRNA (ENSECAG00000047310.1)". Lineage: Eukaryota; Metazoa; Chordata; Mammalia; Perissodactyla; Equidae. The record is from RNAcentral.
UCCAGCCAAUCCUGGCUAAGAAACGGCUGGUCUGUGGCUCGACAAGGAUCCCCAGGUGUUUCCAGAGGCUGGAGCCAGGAGCUGAUGGUUCUUUCACACUGUGUAAUGUCUUCUCUGGAAAGGCCUCCUCAUCCAUCGUGCAAAGAACCCGCCCUAGAGCCACCCCAGGAACUAUAGAAAUAGAAUCCUUUGCUAGAACAAUGAUGCCCUACGAGAAGAAAGAAACAGGGACCCUGGAAGCAUGGGUCGGACUUACGGGCGUUACAGAAAGUUCCAUCUCAGAGAAAUACACGGACCUGCCAGCUCAAAGACGUUUUAGAGGUCCAGAGGAAGAAUUGUGGAAUUUGGGGAGUUUCUUUUUUCAGAAUAAAAGGGCAAGUUGCUA